RNAcentral lists this long non-coding RNA (1143 nucleotides) under Gallus gallus (chicken). Its description in RNAcentral is "lncRNA (ENSGALG00010029862.1)". The record is from RNAcentral. Lineage: Eukaryota; Metazoa; Chordata; Aves; Galliformes; Phasianidae.
GGGGGAGGCGGGGGCCGUCCCGUCGGUUUCCGCGGGCGGGGGCGUAGGGCCGGGGGGAGCGGCCGGGGGAGCUCGGCGGCCGCCGUCUUACGACAGAUCCUGGAAAGAGGAUCAAGGUGGGGCCCGCCCCGCCGCGCACCGCCGGCAACCGACGGGGCGGCCCGGGCUCGGCCGCUGGGAGCACGGCGGAGAGCUGCAGGCGGCGAGGUGCCCUCCCGUCGGGGCCGCGCUGCGCUGCCCGGCCCGAGGGGCUGUUUACCCGGGCGGGGGGAGGCAGAUAAGGCGGAGGGGAAAUGCCGGGGCUGUUUGCUGAGGGAUUAGGGCCGGUCCCGCCGCGCCGGGGCCCGGGAUGGGGGUGGGGUGGGGGGGGCGGCGGGCGCGGUGGGUGUCCCCGCGGAGAAGUCCGUUUGGAGAUCUGCGCUGAUUAACUGAGGGCUGCGGUGGCUGAAGAGGGCCCUGGCGCCAGGCGGCUGAGCCCUCACAAUAAAGACCCGUCUCUUGUCACUUCAUAUUUACCCCCAAAUCUUCAAAAAGCGCCCUGCGAUCCUUACAAGGCUCCUGCCACCGCCGCCUGCGCUGCGGCCAGACGGGACGGGGACGGGGGGGCGGAGGCGGCCCCCUCCUCUGCCCACGGCUCCGCGGGUGCGCAGCGACGCGCUGCCUUCCUGGGGACCGCGCUGGGCCUCUCCCCGCGGAGGGUGAGACGCGGGGACCCCCGGCAGCCCUCUCCCCACCCCCACCUCUCCGCUGUUUCUCCCCACACCGUGGCUCAUCGUGCUGCCAGCAAACCCCGGUGCUGCGAAGGGCCCGAGGAGAAGCCCCGGAGGCGGCCGCAUCCCGCCCCGUCCCGCGGCAGGUUCACCUCCAGCCGUCGCCUCCCGACGGGGCGGACACAGCGCGGCCACCGCGGAGCUGCCCUCACCGCCCCGGCCGCCGCGCGGGGCUGAGGGGGGUGUGUGUGUUGGGGGGGGGGAUCGGUCCCGCUGACCAUUGAACGGGGCGAGGUGGCGAGCGGGGAUUGAAAUUUAGACCUCAUUUGGACUUUGCUUCCUCGCCACCGUCGAAAUGUGCUGACUGCAGCUUUGGCAAAAAUGGGGCUUGCUUGGGCUUUUUUUUUUUCCUUUUUUUUUCCUCCCCUCCAAG